UUAUUUUUAUAACAUGUUCAGAUGUGGUCAAGUGUACUCAUUUAUACUGUGUACUGUACUUACUUUGAACUGUUAAUGAUGAUUACAAAAAAGUUAGAUGAUUAAAAUUAUUUUAGUUUGUUAAUAUCUAAUGUUGCUCAGUUUAAGCACAUUUUGUCCCCCUGACCCUGAGUUUUUUUAAAUAAUAAUAAUAAUAAUAAAUAAUUUUACUUUAUAAUUUUUCAAACAGUAUUUUAUCUUUUUUUUUUUUUAUCUUGUAAAUAGAUACAACACCGUAAUAUUUGGUGGUGUGGAUGGUUAUUCCAGGAGGGUCAUGUACUUGACUGCAGCAAAUAACAGCCAUGCAUCGACAGCAUACCACUUCUUCUCAGACGCAACCCAAACAUUUGGCUUACCAUCAAGGUGAGUAUAGUAAAGAAAAAGCAAUAGAAUUUUAUGACCAAGGAGUGGAGAAUGUACAGAGAGCCAGGUUCAUGUUUUCCUCAAGAGGCACUGACCGAGGAAGUUUCAUAUCCGGCAAAAGUGUCCAUAAUCAAAGGAUUGAGCGCCUCUGGCGUGAUGUCAGAAUCAUGGUCACCAACAAGUACUCAGACAUGCUGCACUCCCUGGAGGCAGAAGGAUUGCUUGACAUAUCAGUGGUUGAGGACCUUUUCAGCGUGCGCUACACUUUUCUCCCAAGACUUCAGGCAGACUUGGACACAUUUUCAGAAGCCUGGAAUCAUCAUCCACUCUCCUCAGAGGGCCAUCGAAGUCCCGAGCAGCUGUGGCAGAUUGGAAUGAUGCACACAAAUAAUGACCGAUCUGAGAGAUACGAGGACAUCGAAGAGCCAGAUCUAGACUGGGACGCAGCAGCUACUUACGAUGCCUGUGAAGAUUUCGGAGUUGUUGUUCCAGAAUUUGAAUGUCCUUUGAGUUCAGAUGGGUUGAGGGCUCUUGAACAUCUGCUGAAUUCAACUGGUCCUAAUAUCCUUGUCGAAGAACUGCACUUGCUUUGUCUGGAGUUU
Long non-coding RNA from Ctenopharyngodon idella (grass carp), 1004 nucleotides. RefSeq lists it as uncharacterized. Lineage: Eukaryota; Metazoa; Chordata; Actinopteri; Cypriniformes; Xenocyprididae. The record is from RefSeq and is a predicted model, not a curated record. The transcript has 4 exons.